UACGUAGGGGGCAAGCGUUGUCCGGAUUUAUUGGGCGUAAAGCGCACGCAGGCGGUGCGGUAAGUUUCGCGUGACAGGUGGUGGCUUAACUGCCACAGGACUCGGAAAACUGCUGCACUUGAGGGCUUGAGAGGGACGCGGAAUUCCAGGUGGAGCGGUGAAAUGCGUAGAUAUCGUAAGGAAGACCAGUGGCGAAGGCGGGUCUCUGGACAGUUCCUGACGCUGAGGCACGAAGGCCAGGGGAGCAAACGGG
Molecule: ribosomal RNA, 253 nt
Filed under: uncultured bacterium
Lineage: Bacteria
Description: partial 16S ribosomal RNA
Rfam family: Bacterial small subunit ribosomal RNA
Source: RNAcentral